RNAcentral lists this ribosomal RNA (922 nucleotides) under uncultured bacterium. RNAcentral describes it as "bacterial SSU rRNA". It matches the Rfam family "Bacterial small subunit ribosomal RNA", at positions 55 to 987 of the family's 1533-position model. The record is from RNAcentral.
AUGCAGUCGAGGGGUAAAGUCUUCGGACUUUGAGACCGGCGCACGGGUGCGUAACGCGUAUGCAAUCUACCUUUUACAGAGGGAUAGCCCAGAGAAAUUUGGAUUAAUACCUCAUAGUAUUAUGAAAUGGCAUCAUUUUAUAAUUAAAGUCACAACGGUAAAAGAUGAGCAUGCGUCCCAUUAGCUAGUUGGUAAGGUAACGGCUUACCAAGGCUACGAUGGGUAGGGGUCCUGAGAGGGAGAUCCCCCACACUGGUACUGAGACACGGACCAGACUCCUACGGGAGGCAGCAGUGAGGAAUAUUGGACAAUGGGCGCAAGCCUGAUCCAGCCAUGCCGCGUGCAGGAUGACGGUCCUAUGGAUUGUAAACUGCUUUUAUACGAGAAGAAACACUCCUUCGUGAAGGAGCUUGACGGUAUCGUAAGAAUAAGGAUCGGCUAACUCCGUGCCAGCAGCCGCGGUAAUACGGAGGAUCCAAGCGUUAUCCGGAAUCAUUGGGUUUAAAGGGUCCGUAGGCGGUUUAAUAAGUCAGUGGUGAAAGCCCAUCGCUCAACGGUGGAACGGCCAUUGAUACUGUUAAGCUUGAAUUAUUAGGAAGUAACUAGAAUAUGUAGUGUAGCGGUGAAAUGCUUAGAGAUUACAUGGAAUACCAAUUGCGAAGGCAGGUUACUACUAAUGGAUUGACGCUGAUGGACGAAAGCGUGGGUAGCGAACAGGAUUAGAUACCCUGGUAGUCCACGCCGUANACGAUGGAUACUAGCUGUUGGGAGCAAUCUCAGUGGCUAAGCGAAAGUGAUAAGUAUCCCACCUGGGGAGUACGUUCGCAAGAAUGAACUCAAAGGAAUUGACGGGGGCCCGCACAAGCGGUGGAGCAUGUGGUUUAAUUCGAUGAUACGCGAGGAACCUUACCAGGCUAAAUGU